GAGAGAGAGAAAGAGAGAAGGAAAAAGAGAGAGGAAAAAAGUGAAUGAGAGACAGGGAAAGUGAGAGAAAAAGGAGAGAGCAAGAGGGGAGGACCUGGCAAGAGAGAGUUUUUAUAGCCAAAAUCUAAUGGGAUCUCUAGGUCUGCAAGCUGCCUCGUUGGUGUAUAGUGAUUGGAUCAUACAGUAGAUGCUAAGGUGUCAUCUUCUGCCUUCAGGCAGAUCUUCAGCAUUACGUAAAUUAAUAAAUAAAAUAAGGAUAUUGUGUUAUGUAAAAAUAAACUGUAAAGUUAUAAAGAUUAAAGUUAAAGCCCAGCAUUCUUACUUUAAAACUGGUAAAACUGACUUGCUGGAUGUUUAAGGCCAAAUUUAAAUAUUAAGGUCAAAAUAAAGGGGCCAAAAAACCCAAUAUUUGGCUCUUGCCCUCUAAGUCAGCCUGAACCCAGGACAGGGGAAAAUGCUUUGCAACUCCGGGCCACAUAACCUCCUGAUAAGGGAGAUUAAUGAGACCAAUGGAAAACAAAAUGCCAAUGAGUGUACAUGCUGCAAAACAGGAGGGUCAUUUAAAAAGGAGACAUGUCUGAUGCUUCCAAGGAAAGCCAUAUGGUCAGCAAGACCUUGACCCAUCCUAAUGCAGAUGACACUAACAGAGCUAAAAUGCUACUCACACGUUCCCCAAGAAUGUCCUCCGAGGAAACUCAGCUGACUCUUAACAAUAGAUAGAAACAAGGUCAGUUUGACCAGCUUGGUCUUAAACACCUAGCAAAAACAGUUAAAACCAAAGCACAGCCAUUCCUGGACAUUUAAAAAAACAACAACAGUUAAUGUAACUUAAAAUGUACACUAAUGUUAGCAUCCCCAAAAAUAAGUAAGACUGGAGACAACAGAAGAAAAAUUCUUAGGCAAAAAUGCCUGAUAACUACCAAUAAAUGCCAAAAGUUUCUAUUCCAUUUAAGGCCUACAGAUCUUCCUAACUUCCUACACAGGUAGAUGUAAUCAAUGUUUAUUAAUAUAAUUAUCUAGCCCUAAGUAACAAAAGGAUCUUUACUGAACACAGUGGUCAUGCCAAAAAGGUAUUUUUACAAAAAUCAGAUGACAUUAACUAAUUUAACUAAAUAUUGUGUCUACAUUCCUAAUAAUUCUAACAAUGUUAAAGAUUUAUGUUCCCUAAAAAAAGUGCCUUAUUAGGCUUUGUUAGGCCUUGUUAUGGGGACAUUUUCUCAGGUCUUCCGCCUCCUGGUAAACAAUUAUUAAUUUCUGUCAUUUUCAUGAUAUUCAUGAACAGGUUUCAGAUGCUACAACUGCUAUUUUGUAUUAAUCUUACUUCAGCACUCAUGUCUUUUUGUUUCUCUCAUAGAAGUGCUCACCCCAGGUGAAUUUACAUCCUGUUCUUCCUGAGCCAGAUUUUUACCAUGGACUCCUUGACCCACUCGGUUUCUAAAAAGGGACUCCAAAACUGCUUGCCCACUGCACAUCACCCCCCUUUCAGCUGGAAGUAGCAAGAAUGGUCAUCGCCCUUUUCCCUUAUGGCAGUUGGAGGUCCCUAAUAUUAAAAAAAAAUUACGGUCAACAUAGAUGUUCGCCAAUGUCUAGCUCAGGAAGAUGUACCUGGGAAACUACUCCCAAGAUCACCCAUAAAGAGACACUUGCUUCUGCAACCCAACUUAUAAGUGGGACAACUCCCCAUUCACCAAAAAUUGUGCUUCUCGGUUCCCACUUUGAACUCCUUGACUAAAUCUCCAAACUGUCAAUAACUCUGAACUAUGUAACUUACUAUUUUGAUGGAGUAAAAGAAAAAGAACACCUGGACUUAUUAAAAGGCCAGACCCCACUGAUUUAUCAACAUAGACUGGCUACCCCCAUUUUAGUUCCCCUCCUGGCUGGUAUCUACUGCUUUGGGAACUACAGCUCUUAUCACAAGCUCUAAAAAUUUUAAGUCCCUCAGCCAUCAAAUAAAUAUAGAUUUAGAAAAACUAGAAAGGUCAAUCUCCAAACUAGAGGUUUCACUAGACUCUCUGACAGAAAUAGUCUUACAAAACAGAUGAGGUCUAGAUGGUCUCUUUCUGAAACAAGGAAGACUUUGUAUGGCUCCAGUAGAAACUUGUUUCUCUAUGCAAACCAGUCUGGGAUAAUAAAGUACAGUUUGGUGCUUGUGAAAAACAGGUUAAAUGAAAGAGAUAAAACACUAGAAACUUCAGGAAAUUGGUUCCAAAAUCUAUUCUCAUGGUCCCCUUAGUUGACUACCAUCAUUUCAGCCAUAGUUGGGCCCCUAGUCCUUCACCUGAUUGGUAUUACUGUAGGACCCUGCCUCUUAAAAACCCUCCUAAACCAUACACACAAAAGAAUGUAGAUGGGGUCAGACUUAUGGUCUUGAGAGCCCAGUAUAGUCCCUUAGACACAGAAGGAUGAAACAAAAACUGAGGCCUAAUGAUGUGCAAGAUUGACAUCAAACCUACUAAAACCAGUGGGGAAUGUGAUAGUAGGAGCAAAUGUGACUCCAUUUUGUUUUAUGACUUCAUCCUGUAAAACAACCAUGCCAAGUAGAAGAGUCAUGACUAGAGCAAGGUGUUCUUUUCCUUUUGCUAUAGAAACCUUUAAGAACAUGGAACUACCUAAUGGGGUAUUGUUUCUGUAACUAGGGUAACGGGGCUCUGUUUCUGUAACUGGGGUGACUGGGCUAACUGUGAUUGGUUAGUCUUCCCUCCGCUUGACUGCACUGUCCCACUUCUGUAACCUGGCUUGCUUGCAUUGGCUAGACCCCCCCGAACAUCCCUUUUGCGGUUUUCAGGCUUAUAAGGAGUGCCCUUGCAAUUGUUCAGGGCUGAUAAGGGGAACAGCUUUAUGUUCUGGUCAGCCACCACCGGUGUGCUUCAAUAAAGGCUUGAUUCGAUUAUA
Molecule: long non-coding RNA, 2892 nt
Filed under: Marmota monax (woodchuck)
Lineage: Eukaryota; Metazoa; Chordata; Mammalia; Rodentia; Sciuridae
Source: RNAcentral